UUGAUCAUGGCUCAGGACGAACGCUGGCGGCGUGCCUAAUACAUGCAAGUCGAGCGGACCUGAUGGAGUGCUUGCACUCCUGACGGUCAGCGGCGGACGGGUGAGUAACACGUAGGUAACCUGCCCGUAAGGCCGGGAUAACAUCCGGAAACGGAUGCUAAUACCGGAUACGCAAUUCCUUCGCAUGGGGGGAUUGGGAAAGGCGGUUCCGAUUGAAUUCGGGCUGCCGCUUACGGAUGGACCUGCGGCGCAUUAGCUGGUUGGUGAGGUAACGGCUCACCAAGGCGACGAUGCGUAGCCGACCUGAGAGGGUGAUCGGCCACACUGGGACUGAGACACGGCCCAGACUCCUACGGGAGGCAGCAGUAGGGAAUCUUCCGCAAUGGACGAAAGUCUGACGGAGCAACGCCGCGUGAGUGAGGAAGGCCUUCGGGUCGUAAAGCUCUGUUGCCAGGGAAGAAUGUGCGAGGGAGUCACUGCCCUUGUAGUGACGGUACCUGAGAAGAAAGCCCCGGCUAACUACGUGCCAGCAGCCGCGGUAAUACGUAGGGGGCAAGCGUUGUCCGGAAUUAUUGGGCGUAAAGCGCGCGCAGGCGGCUUUGUAAGUCUUGUGUUUAAACGCGGGGCUCAACCCCGUGUCGCAUGGGAAACUGCAAGGCUUGAGUGCAGAAGAGGAAAGUGGAAUUCCACGUGUAGCGGUGUAAUGCGUAGAGAUGUGGAGGAACACCAGUGGCGAAGGCGACUUUCUGGGCUGUAACUGACGCUG
RNAcentral lists this ribosomal RNA (766 nucleotides) under uncultured bacterium. RNAcentral describes it as "bacterial SSU rRNA". It matches the Rfam family "Bacterial small subunit ribosomal RNA", at positions 13 to 748 of the family's 1533-position model. The record is from RNAcentral.